This 74-nucleotide transfer RNA is filed under the name Calumma oshaughnessyi oshaughnessyi. RNAcentral's name for it is "partial tRNA-Leu". It matches the Rfam family "tRNA". Rfam says of the family: Transfer RNA (tRNA) molecules are approximately 80 nucleotides in length. Their secondary structure includes four short double-helical elements and three loops (D, anti-codon, and T loops). Further hydrogen bonds mediate the characteristic L-shaped molecular structure. tRNAs have two regions of fundamental functional importance: the anti-codon, which is responsible for specific mRNA codon recognition, and the 3' end, to which the tRNAs corresponding amino acid is attached (by aminoacyl-tRNA synthetases). tRNAs cope with the degeneracy of the genetic code in two manners: having more than one tRNA (with a specific anti-codon) for a particular amino acid; and 'wobble' base-pairing, i.e. permitting non-standard base-pairing at the 3rd anti-codon position. The record is from RNAcentral. Lineage: Eukaryota; Metazoa; Chordata; Lepidosauria; Squamata; Chamaeleonidae.
ACUUUUAAAGGAGAGUACCUAUCCGAUGGUCUUAGGAACCAAAAUACUUGGUGCAAAUCCAAGUAAAAGUAAUG